AUUGCCUCAGUAACGGCGAGUGAAGCGGCAACAGCUCAAAUUUGAAAUCUGGGGCCUUCGGCUUCCGAGUUGUAAUUUGAAGAGGAUGUUUCGGUUGUGACCUGGGCCUAAGUUCCUUGGAACAGGACGUCAUGGAGGGUGAGAAUCCCGUACAUGGCUGCAGGUUUACUUCCAUGUGAAACUCCUUCGAAGAGUCGAGUUGUUUGGGAAUGCAGCUCUAAAUGGGUGGUAAAUUUCAUCUAAAGCUAAAUAUUGGCGGGAGACCGAUAGCGCACAAGUAGAGUGAUCGAAAGAUGAAAAGCACUUUGAAAAGAGAGUUAAACAGUACGUGAAAUUGUUGAAAGGGAAGCGCUUGCAAUCAGACUCGCCUUCAGUUGAUCAACGUUCCUUCUGGUGCGUGCACUCUGCUGUUGGCGGGCCAGCAUCAGUUGGGGCGGCGGGACAAAGGCGGCAGGAAUGUGGCUCUCUUCGGGGAGUGUUAUAGCCUGCUGUGCAAUGCCGCCAGCUCCGACUGAGGUCCGCGGUUCUGCCUAGGAUGCUGGCUUAAUGGUUGUAAGCGACCCGUCUUGAAACACGGACCAAGGAGUCUAACAUCUAUGCGAGUCUUUGGGUGUCAAACCCAUGGGCGGAAUGAAAGUGAACGGAGGUGGGAGUCCUCGGAUGCACCAUCGACCGAUCCUGAUGUUCUCGGAUGGAUUUGAGUAUGAGCAUAGCUGUUGGGACCCGAAAGAUGGUGAACUAUGCCUGAAUAGGGUGAAGCCAGAGGAAACUCUGGUGGAGGCUCGCAGCGGUUCUGACGUGCAAAUCGAUCGUCAAAUUUGGGUAAUAGGGCGAAAGACUAAUCGAAACCAUCU
Molecule: ribosomal RNA, 854 nt
Filed under: Gamsylella arcuata
Lineage: Eukaryota; Fungi; Ascomycota; Orbiliomycetes; Orbiliales; Orbiliaceae
Description: LSU rRNA
Rfam family: Eukaryotic large subunit ribosomal RNA
Source: RNAcentral